Molecule: ribosomal RNA, 897 nt
Filed under: uncultured bacterium
Lineage: Bacteria
Description: bacterial SSU rRNA
Rfam family: Bacterial small subunit ribosomal RNA
Source: RNAcentral
AUGCAAGUCGAGGGGAAACGGCAUUUAGUGCUUGCACCGAAUGGACGUCGACCGGCGCACGGGUGAGUAACGCGUAUCCAACUUUCCCAUAACUAAGGGAUAACCUGCCGAAAGGCAGACUAAUACCUUAUGUAAUCCUUUGAUGGCAUCAGAUAAGGAUAAAAGAUUUAUCGGUUAUGGAUGGGGAUGCGUCUGAUUAGCUUGUUGGCGGGGUAACGGCCCACCAAGGCAACGAUCAGUAGGGGUUCUGAGAGGAAGGUCCCCCACAUUGGAACUGAGACACGGUCCAAACUCCUACGGGAGGCAGCAGUGAGGAAUAUUGGUCAAUGGACGGAAGUCUGAACCAGCCAAGUAGCGUGCAGGAUGACGGCCCUAUGGGUUGUAAACUGCUUUUGUAUGGGGAUAAAGUCAAUCACGUGUGAUUGUUUGCAGGUACCAUACGAAUAAGGACCGGCUAAUUCCGUGCCAGCAGCCGCGGUAAUACGGAAGGUUCGGGCGUUAUCCGGAUUUAUUGGGUUUAAAGGGAGCGUAGGCCGGAGAUUAAGUGUGUUGUGAAAUGUAGACGCUCAACGUCUGACUUGCAGCGCAUACUGGUUUCCUUGAGUACGCACAACGUUGGCGGAAUUCGUCGUGUAGCGGUGAAAUGCUUAGAUAUGACGAAGAACUCCGAUUGCGAAGGCAGCUGACGGGAGCGCAACUGACGCUGAAGCUCGAAGGUGCGGGUAUCGAACAGGAUUAGAUACCCUGGUAGUCCGCACAGUAAACGAUGGAUGCCCGCUGUUGGUACCUGGUAUCAGCGGCUAAGCGAAAGCAUUAAGCAUCCCACCUGGGGAGUACGCCGGCAACGGUGAAACUCAAAGGAAUUGACGGGGGCCCGCACAAGCGGAGGAACAUGUG